This 772-nucleotide ribosomal RNA is filed under the name uncultured bacterium. Its description in RNAcentral is "bacterial SSU rRNA". It matches the Rfam family "Bacterial small subunit ribosomal RNA", at positions 80 to 864 of the family's 1533-position model. The record is from RNAcentral.
GGGGAAGAUAUAAAGUGGGCGCACGGGUGAGUAACACGUAAGUAAUCUACCUUCGAGUGGGGAAUAACGUCCGGAAACGGACGCUAAUACCGCAUAAUGCAGCGGCACCUAAUGGUGACAGUUGUUAAAGGAGCAAUUCGCUUGAAGAGGAGCUUGCGGCAGAUUAGCUAGUUGGUAAGGUAACGGCUUACCAAGGCUACGAUCUGUAACCGGUCUAAGAGGACGGUCGGUCACACUGACACUGAAUAACGGGUCAGACUCCUACGGGAGGCAGCAGUCGGGAAUUUUGGGCAAUGGGCGAAAGCCUGACCCAGCAACGCCGCGUGAAGGAUGAAGUAUUUCGGUAUGUAAACUUCGAAAGAAUGGGAAGAAUCAAUGACGGUACCAUUUAUAAGGUCCGGCUAACUACGUGCCAGCAGCCGCGGUAAUACGUAGGGACCAAGCGUUGUUCGGAUUUACUGGGCGUAAAGGGCGCGUAGGCGGCAAUUCAAGUCAUCUGUGAAAUCUCUGGGCUUAACCCAGAACGGCCAGGUGAUACUGCUUUGCUAGAGUGCGGAAGGGGCAAUCGGAAUUCUUGGUGUAGCGGUGAAAUGCGUAGAUAUCAAGAGGAACACCUGAGGUGAAGACGGGUUGCUGGGCCGACACUGACGCUGACAGCGCGAAAGCCAGGGGAGCAAACGGGAUUAGAUACCCCGGUAGUCCUGGCCCUAAACGAUGAAUACUUGGUGUCUGGAGUUAUUAGUGCUCCGGGUGCCGUCGCUAACGUUUUUAG